GAUGAACGCUGGCGGCGUGCCUAAUACAUGCAAGUCGAGCGAACAGACGAGGAGCUUGCUCCUCUGACGUUAGCGGCGGACGGGUGAGUAACACGUGGAUAACCUACCUAUAAGACUGGGAUAACUUCGGGAAACCGGAGCUAAUACCGGAUAAUAUAUUGAACCGCAUGGUUCAAUAGUGAAAGACGGUUUUGCUGUCACUUAUAGAUGGAUCCGCGCCGCAUUAGCUAGUUGGUAAGGUAACGGCUUACCAAGGCGACGAUGCGUAGCCGACCUGAGAGGGUGAUCGGCCACACUGGAACUGAGACACGGUCCAGACUCCUACGGGAGGCAGCAGUAGGGAAUCUUCCGCAAUGGGCGAAAGCCUGACGGAGCAACGCCGCGUGAGUGAUGAAGGUCUUCGGAUCGUAAAACUCUGUUAUUAGGGAAGAACAAAUGUGUAUGUAACUAUGCACGUCUUGACGGUACCUAAUCAGAAAGCCACGGCUAACUACGUG
Molecule: ribosomal RNA, 497 nt
Filed under: uncultured bacterium
Lineage: Bacteria
Description: partial 16S ribosomal RNA
Rfam family: Bacterial small subunit ribosomal RNA
Source: RNAcentral